AAGCCUAUCUGCACAGAGAGGACACUUUGCAUAGGCAGCACAUGCUUCAGUGGUCUGGGAGUGUUUAUAGUCCUGUGAGUUUAACACCUCAUGACUGAGAGCUGUCCUUCAUGACAACAGAACCCACAACAACCAUGACUCUGAUCACCAUCUUCAUCUGGACUCUAGCUGUCUACGUACAGGAGUCCAGAGGACAGAUCACUGUCACUCAGACUCCUGCAGUGAAAGCUGUUCUCCCAGAACAGACAGUCUCUCUGCAGUGUAAAACCAGCAGUGAUGUGUAUGGAAAUUGUCACAAUGGUCAAUCAUGGGGUCACCAGUGUCUAGCGUGGUACCUCCAGAAACCUGGAGAACAACCCAGUCUCCUGAUCCACACUGUUAAAACGCUCCACACUGGGACUGCAUCUAGAUUCAGUGGCAGUGGAUCUGGAAGUGACUUCACUCUGACCAUCAGUGGAGUCCAGGCUGGAGAUGCAGGAGAUUACUACUGUCAGAGUUUCCACUACCCUAACAGUGUCUGGGUGUUCACACAGUGAUAUAGAGCCGUACAGAAACCUCCCUCAGUCAGACUGCACAGUGACUGCACUGCUACAGCUGAGACCUACUGCAGGUGCUGAGAGGGAGGAGAAAGUGACAUGGAACACUGACUGGCCUUUGUCACACUGAGCUGAAUAUAUCAGUGGUGUUCAUUGUAAUAUUUGUGUAAAUAACCAGGCAGGAGAUGGGAGUACAGUUUGUGCUGUUUAGUCAAACCACAAAACCCCGUGAACACUACAACCCCGCAAAUAGUGCGCAGGUGCAUUUCCUAUUAGAUAUCGUAACAUAACAGUGCCGUAAUACAUUACUGCUUGGCAACAGCAUAGUAACCAAAAUAAUGUAUGUCAAACAACCCACCCUCAUGUCAAAGCAGUCCUGAAAAUGUUUAGGCUCAUGACGUUUAGAUAUUAAAUCACUUAUAGAAGUACAAAACAUAACUUUUAUAUAUAUUUGUAUGAAACAUGUCUUCACUGACUCUCUUAAUCAAACUAAAUGUUCAUCAGAGACUAUUAUAUAGAGGGGUGCACAUAAGUGGUAUGCGGGUACGCAUGCGCGACAAAAAUCAGGAAUGCGUAAUGCCACUUGUAUUACUAUGCGCCUUUGCGUACUUGACUGAUAUCAUCUAACCUUACAACAUGACAUGUUGGUUGUCAACUAUUGUCAGAGAUGUCCAAAAAGCAACAGACAUUCAGCAGCUUCCUUGGCGUUUCGCAAUCUACAAAGAAACGCCAAAAGGAGCCACAGCCGAAAAAUAUAUUUCUUUCGGAAGUGGCUCCAAGAUGUGCAGUGGCUUGAAGCUAACGAUGAGCGCACUGAAAUGUGGUGCAACAUUUCUGCUGCUCAAAUCCAUAUCUACCAGACCAAACAGUUAAAUUUGAUAAAGGCUCAAAUAAUUUUAACCAUCCUUUAUUUGACACACAUGAAAAUAGUAAGGAGCACACGAAUGUGGCGCAAGCCAUCGCUAAUAAACAAGCUAGCCAAGAAGAAAUGUCCAGUCGUCCACUUGCCAGAUGGCAAAAAAAGCUCUGUUUAAUAUUUUUCUCCUCGCCUUCCUUAAACCUAAACACGCACAUCCCAUGUCUUCCUAUUCUGAAUAUAUUCCUUUACUGAAGCGGCUAGGAGUAAAUGUCGGAGGUGCAUAUGUCAAGUGUACUGUAAUGUUUUAGUGUAAAUGCCAUGUGUAUUAUGUGCUGGACUUAAGUGUUGAAUGUGUCUGUAUUGGGGGCGUUGCUAUGGCCUACAAAGGCUGCUGAAAAGCUAAUUGCCAAUUACCGGGCAAUUGUCUAAUUGCCAAAUACCGGGCAAUUAGCUUGAUGGGAAGGGAGUGGUGUAGUGUGUGGGGAUAGGUCCGUUCCCUGUAUAAGAGAGGACAGUGGAUGAACGGGGGGCAGGAGAUUGACACGACGGAUGGGAGCGCUAGCAAUUUGACAGCUCUGGCGACAAGGGAUUGAGAAGGGACCCUGGAGAGGCUCCGGACGUGGUGCCUGGUCUGGCGUCGAGGCUGACGGUCAAUCUGCUCUACGUUCGCCUUGCGAAGGGAAGUCCAUUACUCCACCUCACUGUGCUUCUGUCCCACUAGCUCGGUCUGUUGAAGGGUGUGAGGUUGCCUAAGUGGUCUGUCCUGCACUUCCGUUCUCUGCAGCUUGGGGGAGUCCUCGAGGUGGGCGGAGCGGCGCGUCACCAGGGCCAUUACGGAGGCUUUCGCAACGGAAAGCGGUGCGCAGAUCAGGGUCAGCGCUGGAGCGGGCGAAGGCGUGUGUCGGCCGUACUGGACAGUGACAGCACGCUUCACCGGCGGUAUCCAGCACAAGGCUGCUGCAUAAACUGCCUGUUUCAUUGUUUUUAAUACUGGUCGGUGGGGGACCGACCGACCAAUACCAAUUUAUAAUUGUCAGUACUGCAGGCCUCCCUGGGAAAGUCUAUUCAGGGGUCCUGGAGAGGAGGGUCCGUCGGAUUGUCGAA
Hypomesus transpacificus is the source of this 2499-nucleotide non-coding RNA. The record is from the annotation of a RefSeq genome assembly. NCBI's taxonomy places the organism in Eukaryota, Metazoa, Chordata, Actinopteri, Osmeriformes, Osmeridae.